GGACCCGCACAAGCGGUGGAGCAUGUGGUUUAAUUCGAUGCAACGCGAAAAACCUUACCUACUCUUGACAUACUUGGGAGCUCUUGUAAUGAGAGUGUGCCUAUUGGAACCAAGAUACAGGUGCUGCAUGGCUGUCGUCAGCUCGUGUCGUGAGAUGUUCCGUUAAGUCGGAUAACGAGCGCAACCCUUACCCUUAUUUGCCAGCGAGUAAUGUCGGGAACUCUAACGAAACUGCCAGUGCAAACUGUGAGGAAGGUGGGGAUGACGUCAAAUCAUCACGGCCCUUACGUCCUGGGCUACACACGUGCUACAAUGGCCGGUACAGAGAGCAGCCACUUCGCAAGAAGGAGCGAA
This 354-nucleotide ribosomal RNA is filed under the name uncultured bacterium. RNAcentral's name for it is "bacterial SSU rRNA". It matches the Rfam family "Bacterial small subunit ribosomal RNA", at positions 917 to 1271 of the family's 1533-position model. The record is from RNAcentral.